RNAcentral lists this ribosomal RNA (528 nucleotides) under uncultured bacterium. RNAcentral describes it as "bacterial SSU rRNA". It matches the Rfam family "Bacterial small subunit ribosomal RNA", at positions 777 to 1302 of the family's 1533-position model. The record is from RNAcentral.
AAUAGAUACCCAGGUAGUCCACGCCGUAAACGAUGAGUGCUAAGUGUUAGGAGGGUUUCCGCCCUUUAGUGCUGCAGCUAACGCAUUAAGCACUCCGCCUGGGGAGUACGGCCGCAAGGCUGAAACUCAAAGGAAUUGACGGGGGCCCGCACAAGCGGUGGAGCAUGUGGUUUAAUUCGAAGCAACGCGAAGAGCCUUACCAGGUCUUGACAUCCUCUGCCAACCCUAGAGAUAGGGCGUUCCCCUUCGGGGGACAGAGUGACAGGUGGUGCAUGGUUGUCGUCAGCUCGUGUCGUGAGAUGUUGGGUUAAGUCCCGCAACGAGCGCAACCCUUGAUCUUAGUUGCCAGCAUUCAGUUGGGCACUCUAAGGUGACUGCCGGUGACAAACCGGAGGAAGGUGGGGAUGACGUCAAAUCAUCAUGCCCCUUAUGACCUGGGCUACACACGUGCUACAAUGGAUGGUACAAAGAGCUGCGAACCCGCGAGGGUAAGCGAAUCUCACAAAGCCAUUCUCAGUUCGGAUUGGU